UACGUAGGUGGCAAGCGUUGUCCGGAUUUACUGGGUGUAAAGGGCGUGCAGCCGGGCUGACAAGUCAGAUGUGAAAUCCCGCGGCUCAACCGCGGAACUGCAUUUGAAACUGUCAGUCUUGAGUACCGGAGAGGUCAUCGGAAUUCCUUGUGUAGCGGUGAAAUGCAUAGAUAUCGCGCAGAACUCCGAUUGCGAAGGCAGCAUGCCGGCUCCACACUGACGCUGAGGCACGAAAGCGUGGGGAGCAAACAGG
RNAcentral lists this ribosomal RNA (253 nucleotides) under uncultured Oscillospira sp. RNAcentral's name for it is "partial 16S ribosomal RNA". It matches the Rfam family "Bacterial small subunit ribosomal RNA", at positions 524 to 776 of the family's 1533-position model. The record is from RNAcentral. Lineage: Bacteria; Bacillati; Bacillota; Clostridia; Eubacteriales; Oscillospiraceae.